RNAcentral lists this long non-coding RNA (206 nucleotides) under Capsicum annuum. RNAcentral describes it as "long non-coding RNA (CANN_LNC013219)". Lineage: Eukaryota; Viridiplantae; Streptophyta; Magnoliopsida; Solanales; Solanaceae. The record is from RNAcentral.
GGAGGGAGAAUCAGGGGAAAGAGAGAGAAACUGAGGGAGAGAUAAAGGUGAGAAUCAAAGGAGAGGUAGAGGUCGCGUUUGGUCACUGCUCCGACGACUGUGUCAUCGGAAAACAUCAAACCAUACUGGGAAAACGUGAAAUUGAAGGGUAAAAUCGAUCGGAGCAUAAAGUUUUGUAAUCGGUUUAAAGGAAGAUGACAGCAAGG